RNAcentral lists this ribosomal RNA (477 nucleotides) under uncultured bacterium. RNAcentral's name for it is "bacterial SSU rRNA". It matches the Rfam family "Bacterial small subunit ribosomal RNA", at positions 328 to 793 of the family's 1533-position model. The record is from RNAcentral.
UCAGUCGACUCCUACGGGGAGGCAGCAGUGGGGAAUAUUGCACAAUCGGGGGAAACCCUGAUGCAGCCAUGCCGCGUGUGUGAAGAAGGACCUUCGGGUUGUAAAGCACUUUCAGUAGGGAGGAAGGUAGUGUAGUUAACACCUGCAUUAUUUGACGUUACCUACAGAAGAAGCACCGGCUAACUCCGUGCCAGCAGCCGCGGUAAUACGGAGGGUGCGAGCGUUAAUCGGAAUUACUGGGCGUAAAGCGCAUGCAGGCGGCCUGUUAAGUCAGAUGUGAAAGCCCGGGGCUUAACCUCGGAAUUGCAUUUGAAACUGGCAGGCUAGAGUCUUGUAGAGGGGGGUAGGAAUUUCAGGUGUAGCGGUGAAAUGCGUAGAGAUCUGAAGGAAUACCAGUGGCGAAGGCGGCCCCCUGGACAAAGACUGACGCUCAGAUGCGAAAGCGUGGGGAGCAAACAGGAUUAGAUACCCUGGUAG